GGGGAAUAUUGCACAAUGGGCGCAAGCCUGAUGCAGCGACGCCGCGUGAGGGAUGACGGCCUUCGGGUUGUAAACCUCUUUCAAUAGGGACGGAGCGUGAGUGACGGUACCUAUAGAAGAAGCACCGGCCAACUACGUGCCAGCAGCCGCGGUAAUACGUAGGGUGCGAGCGUUGUCCGGAAUUACUGGGCGUAAAGAGCUCGUAGGUGGUUUGUCGCGUUGUUCGUGAAAACUCACAGCUUAACUGUGGGCGUGCGGGCGAUACGGGCAGACUAGAGUACUGCAGGGGAGACUGGAAUUCCUGGUGUAGCGGUGGAAUGCGCAGAUAUCAGGAGGAACACCGGUGGCGAAGGCGGGUCUCUGGGCAGUAACUGACGCUGAGGAGCGAAAGCGUGGGGAGCGAAC
This 405-nucleotide ribosomal RNA is filed under the name uncultured bacterium. Its description in RNAcentral is "bacterial SSU rRNA". It matches the Rfam family "Bacterial small subunit ribosomal RNA", at positions 356 to 773 of the family's 1533-position model. The record is from RNAcentral.